CGCAGGGCCUGUCUCUCAACCAGCUGGUUGCGGAGCUCCGAUACCCUCUGCUCUUUCUGAGAGCACGGAAGAGGAAGAGGUCUUAUUAAUACUGGACACUCAUGGCUGGCGAGACUUCUCCUCAUCAUUGUUGUUGGUGGACGAGCCCGUCUUCAGCGUGUCCUGCUGCUCUGACUGCCACUCACCACGUGUAAUCAGCCUGCGCAUCUAGAAUAGAAUAGAGUUUUACUCUACACAGCCAGAGAGACAGAGAUGAACCAUAUACUAUAUGUGAAUUUGGAAAUGUUAACAUUGAAGAAUGUAUUGAGACUUUGUUUUGAGUGCUGAUGCAAGUGUACAUUAAACACGGCUGCUAAAUGACUCAGUCCUAGGCAACGUCCCAAAUGGCACCCUUUUCCUUAUACAGUGCACUACUUUCGAGCAGAGCCCUGGUCCAAAGUAACGCACUAUAAAGGGAAUAGGGUGCCGUUUGGGACACAGCCCUGUUCUUUACAGUAUACUGUACCUUGGGCACGAAGAGCACCACCAGGGUGAUGUAGACAGAGAACACUAUGGCCAGAGCGGCAAAGGCAAAGGAAGCAUCCUGCUGUGAUGUGAGGAUCAUAGUGACGGGAGCCGUGAUCAUGCACAACACCUGCAGAGACGGGGGGAUUGAGAGAGAGAGAAAGAAACAAAGAGGUAAAUAUCAAGAGAGAGGUGAGAGAGGAAAAUAAGAUCUAAAAAAGCGGUCGGCAGCUGCUUAUCAUUCCAACGAGGUUCCUCAUAUGAAAACAUCAUUAUAAAGUCAUAGUGGCCAUACUGGCACAUUAUCACAAUAUCAAGCCUUCCAAAAGCUCUCUACUUCCCAACAAGGAGGCCUUUGCAGAUACAAUAAAUAUUGACAUUUUAAAGGAUUCGACCUCAUAUGGGGCACCAUUGUUGUAGGGAAUUGUAUCAUUUAUCUCUGUGUAUUACACCAUGAAAUAUACACAAUUAAAUAAAAUGGUGAAAUCAACAUCUAAGCUUUC
Oncorhynchus kisutch (coho salmon) is the source of this 1007-nucleotide long non-coding RNA. RefSeq lists it as uncharacterized. NCBI's taxonomy places the organism in Eukaryota, Metazoa, Chordata, Actinopteri, Salmoniformes, Salmonidae. The record is from RefSeq and is a predicted model, not a curated record. The transcript is spliced from 2 exons.